This 200-nucleotide ribosomal RNA is filed under the name uncultured bacterium. RNAcentral's name for it is "partial 16S ribosomal RNA". It matches the Rfam family "Bacterial small subunit ribosomal RNA", at positions 29 to 258 of the family's 1533-position model. The record is from RNAcentral.
AGCGAACGCUGGCGGCAGGCCUAACACAUGCAAGUCGAACGCACCUUCGGGUGAAUGGCGGACGGGUGAGUAACACGUGGGAACGUACCUUUUGGUUCGGAAUAACGCAGGGAAACUUGUGCUAAUACCGAAUGUGCCCUUCGGGGAAAGGAUUUAUCGCCAUUAGAGCGGCCCGCGUUAGAUUAGCUAGUUGGUGAGGU